AGAUUGAACGCUUAGCGGCAUGCCCUAAACACAUGCAAGUCGAGGCGGCAGCGCGGGGGCGACCCUGGCGGCGAGCGGCGGACGGGUGAGUAAGGCAUCGGAAUCUGCCCUGAAUGUGGGGGUAUAACGUAGGGGAAACUUACGUCUAAUACCGCAUACGACCGAGGAGGUGAAAAGCGGGGGACCGAAAGGCCUCGCGCAGCAGGAUGAGCCGAUGUCCGAUUAGCUAGUUGGUUGGGGUAACGGCCUACCAAGGCUACGAUCGGUAAGC
This 271-nucleotide ribosomal RNA is filed under the name uncultured prokaryote. Its description in RNAcentral is "partial 16S ribosomal RNA". It matches the Rfam family "Bacterial small subunit ribosomal RNA", at positions 26 to 288 of the family's 1533-position model. The record is from RNAcentral.